Molecule: ribosomal RNA, 1490 nt
Filed under: Borrelia miyamotoi
Lineage: Bacteria; Pseudomonadati; Spirochaetota; Spirochaetia; Spirochaetales; Borreliaceae
Description: bacterial SSU rRNA
Rfam family: Bacterial small subunit ribosomal RNA
Source: RNAcentral
UAGAACUAACGCUGGCAGUGCGUCUUAAGCAUGCAAGUCAGACGGAAUGUAGUAAUACAUUCAGUGGCGAACGGGUGAGUAACGCGUGGAUAAUCUACCUACGAGAUGGGGAUAACUAUUAGAAAUAGUAGCUAAUACCGAAUAAAGUCAAUUAAGAUGUUAGUUGAUGAAAGGAAGCCUUUAAAGCUUCGCUUGUAGAUGAGUCUGCGUCUUAUUAGCUAGUUGGUGGGAUAAGAGCCUACCAAGGCUAUGAUAAGUAACCGGCCUGAGAGGGUGAUCGGUCACACUGGAACUGAGAUACGGUCCAGACUCCUACGGGAGGCAGCAGCUAAGAAUCUUCCGCAAUGGGCGAAAGCCUGACGGAGCGACACUGCGUGAACGAAGAAGGUCGAAAGAUUGUAAAGUUCUUUUAUAAGUGAGGAAUAAGCUUUGUAGGAAAUGACAAAGCGAUGACGUUAAUUUAUGAAUAAGCCCCGGCUAAUUACGUGCCAGCAGCCGCGGUAAUACGUAAGGGGCGAGCGUUGUUCGGGAUCAUUGGGCGUAAAGGGUGAGUAGGCGGAUAUGCAAGUCUAUGUGUAAAAUACCACAGCUCAACUGUGGAACUAUGCUGGAAACUGCAUGACUAGAGUCUGAUAGGGGAAGUUAGAAUUCCUGGUGUAAGGGUGGAAUCUGUUGAUAUCAGGAAGAAUACCAGAGGCGAAGGCGAACUUCUAGGUCAAGACUGACGCUGAGUCACGAAAGCGUAGGGAGCAAACAGGAUUAGAUACCCUGGUAGUCUACGCUGUAAACGAUGCACACUUGGUGUUAAUCGAAAGGUUAGUACCGAAGCUAACGUGUUAAGUGUGCCGCCUGGGGAGUAUGUUCGCAAGAAUGAAACUCAAAGGAAUUGACGGGGGCCCGCACAAGCGGUGGAGCAUGUGGUUUAAUUCGAUGAUACGCGAGGAACCUUACCAGGGCUUGACAUAUACAGGAUAUAGUUAGAGAUAACUAUUCCCCGUUUGGGGUCUGUAUACAGGUGCUGCAUGGUUGUCGUCAGCUCGUGCCGUGAGGUGUUGGGUUAAGUCCCGCAACGAGCGCAACCCUUGUUGUCUGUUACCAGCAUGUAAAGAUGGGGACUCAGACGAGACUGCCGGUGAUAAGCCGGAGGAAGGUGAGGAUGACGUCAAAUCAUCAUGGCCCUUAUGUCCUGGGCUACACACGUGCUACAAUGGCCUGUACAAAGCGAUGCGAAACAGUGAUGUGAAGCAAAACGCAGAAAGCAGGUCUCAGUCCAGAUUGAAGUCUGAAACUCGGCUUCAUGAAGUUGGAAUCGCUAGUAAUCGUAUAUCAGAAUGAUACGGUGAAUACGUUCUCGGGCCUUGUACACACCGCCCGUCACACCACCCGAGUUGAAGAUACCCGAAGCUAUUAUUCUAACCCGCAAGGGAGGAAGGUAUCUAAGGUAUGUUUAGUGAGGGGGGUGAAGUCGUAACAAGGUAGCCGUACUGGAA